AUACGUAGGGUGCAAGCGUUAAUCGGAAUUACUGGGCGUAAAGCGUGCGCAGGCGGUUUUUUAAGACAGUGGUGAAAUCCCCGGGCUCACCCUGGGAACUGCCAUUGUAACUGCAAGGCUGGAGUGCGGCAGAGGGGGAUGGAAUUUCUCGUGUAGCAGUGAAAUGCGUAGAUAUGCGGAGGAACACCGAUGGCGAAGGCAAUCCCCUGGGCCUGCACUGACGCUCAUGCACGAAAGCGUGGGGAGCAAACAGGAUUAGAUACCCUGGUAGUCCACGCCCUAAACGAUGUCAACUGGUUGUUGGGGAUUUAUUUUCUCAGUAACGAAGCUAACGCGUGAAGUUGACCGCCUGGGGAGUACGGCCGCAAGGUUAAAACUCAAAUGAAUUGACGGGG
RNAcentral lists this ribosomal RNA (395 nucleotides) under uncultured bacterium. RNAcentral describes it as "partial 16S ribosomal RNA". It matches the Rfam family "Bacterial small subunit ribosomal RNA", at positions 523 to 918 of the family's 1533-position model. The record is from RNAcentral.